CAGCAGCCACGGUAAUACGUAGGGUGCAAGCGUUAAUCGGAAUUACUGGGCGUAAAGCGUGCGCAGGCGGUUUGUUAAGACAGAUGUGAAAUCCCCGGGCUCAACCUGGGAACUGCAUUUGUGACUGGCAAGCUAGAGUCUGGCAGAGGGGGGUGGAAUUCCGCGUGUAGCAGUGAAAUGCGUAGAUAUGCGGAGGAACACCGAUGGCGAAGGCGGCCAUCUGGGACAACACUGACGCUGAGGCACGAAAGCGUGGGGAGCAAACAGGAUUAGAUACCCCCGUAGUCCCUGUCUCUUAUAC
Molecule: ribosomal RNA, 301 nt
Filed under: uncultured bacterium
Lineage: Bacteria
Description: partial 16S ribosomal RNA
Rfam family: Bacterial small subunit ribosomal RNA
Source: RNAcentral